AUCUUUUUGUAGUUCAUGAGCAUGAUGAUUGGGUGUUCAUGCACAUGCGUGAGAUGUGCUACUCUCGAACCUUGUUACGAUGUCAGCACAUUACCAGUCUGACC
Molecule: small nucleolar RNA, 104 nt
Organism: Gorilla gorilla gorilla (western lowland gorilla)
Lineage: Eukaryota; Metazoa; Chordata; Mammalia; Primates; Hominidae
Source: Ensembl